Molecule: antisense RNA, 75 nt
Filed under: Streptomyces sp. MBRL 601
Lineage: Bacteria; Bacillati; Actinomycetota; Actinomycetes; Kitasatosporales; Streptomycetaceae
Description: ASpks sRNA
Rfam family: ASpks TB sRNA
Source: RNAcentral
CUUGAUGGAGCCGAGCAGCAGCGGCCUGUCCGCGGGCCGGUCCUGCCCGUACGUCGCCAACAGCGCCUGCGCCUC